Long non-coding RNA from Bombyx mori (domestic silkworm), 757 nucleotides. RefSeq lists it as uncharacterized. The record is from RefSeq and is a predicted model, not a curated record. Lineage: Eukaryota; Metazoa; Arthropoda; Insecta; Lepidoptera; Bombycidae. The transcript has 3 exons.
UAUCUCUAAUACCUUUACAAGUUAAAGUCGCUUGACGUAUUGUAAGUUUGUUGUGAGCAUAUUAUGGUUUGAGAGCACGGUGCUGAUAAUAAUUGUGGAGAAAAAGAAACGACAGCAGCGCUAGAUGUAAUACUUUAAAGAGGAUUUACAAUGUGACAGGCCUUUACCGAAAGCAACAAAAAAGGUUUUUUGGUUGUACAAUUUAAUGAAAUUUCUAUGAGUAGUCUUAAACGUCAAAUCUACUCUUGUGUUUUAAAUGUACAAUACUGAAAAGGAAAUGCUUACACUAAAUUUCACUACUGUAACUCUUAUGCAACCAGCACAUCGGCUAAUAACACAAUGAGUCUGAAGGGUAGAAGAGAAUAAGAAUAACAGAAGGCUAUAAGAUCAAAAGGAACAUUAAAAAAAAACGAAUGAAGUAAAAGAAACACCAAAAGAAGAAACAGAAAAAUCCUUCGCUGUGGAACACAGUGACCGAUCCCGACGUUUCGUUACAAGAAUAUUGGACAGACGUGAAAAAUUAAAAUUUCCCCGAAGAGAAGUGAACGCGAUUUUUAUUAAAGCAAAAAAAAAAUAUGCCGAAAAGCGCUCAGUGGAAGGCUGUACGGCCCAGCGGGAGGCUUUUAUAAGGCGAACAAUAAAUCAAGGGCGGGGAAAUAUUUAAAAGCUUGCCGCACCAAGAUUCCUUGGCGUUAUCCGUAUUGAACCCAGAUUAUUAUUUUAAGGUUUCCCAGAAUUAAAAAAACUUGGUUAAUAA